This 720-nucleotide ribosomal RNA is filed under the name Triticum aestivum (bread wheat). RNAcentral's name for it is "partial small subunit ribosomal RNA". The record is from RNAcentral. Lineage: Eukaryota; Viridiplantae; Streptophyta; Magnoliopsida; Poales; Poaceae.
AACUACUAUGUCGGCAACGAGCGCGCCAUGCUCCUGCCCAACUGCUUGUUCCGCGUCGGCGGAGUGGCCGCGAUACUGUCGACGUCCCCCGUGAACGCCCGGUUCCGCCUCAAGCAUGUCGUGCGCACCUUGACCGGCGCGAACGACGACAGCGCGUACCGGUGCGUGUUCCAGGAAGAGGACGACCAAGGGAACGUCGGGAUCAACCUCAGCAAGAACCUGAUGGCCGUCGCCGGGAGCUCCCUCCAAGCCAACAUCACGGAGAUCGGGCCGCUCGUCCUACCCUUCUCCGAGCAGCUUCUAUUCGUCCUCUCCUUCGUCGCACGCAAGCUGCUUCGCGGCGCGCGGGUCAAGCAGCCCUACAUCCCGGACUUCUCCACGGCGUUCGAGCACCUGUGCAUUCACGCCGGCGGCCGCGCCGUCAUAGACCAGCUGCAAGAAAAGCUCGGCCUCUCCGACGAGCAGGUGGAGGCGUCGCGGAUGACACUGCACCGGUUCGGAAACACGUCGAGUAGCUCGCUAUGGUACGAGCUCGCCUACAUCGAGGCCAAAGGCCGAAUGCGCAAGGGCGACCGCGUUUGGAUGAUCGGCUUUGGCUCAGGGUUCAAGUGCAACAGCGUGGUGUGGGAGUGCAUCCAACCAGCUGCCCGCCACACCCAUGGGCCGUGGACCACCUCUAUCCACAGGUAUCCGGUGGACAUUGCCGACGUGCUAAAAUAA